This 73-nucleotide transfer RNA is filed under the name Sphenostylis stenocarpa. RNAcentral describes it as "tRNA gene-AYBTSS11_LOCUS16746". It matches the Rfam family "tRNA". Rfam says of the family: Transfer RNA (tRNA) molecules are approximately 80 nucleotides in length. Their secondary structure includes four short double-helical elements and three loops (D, anti-codon, and T loops). Further hydrogen bonds mediate the characteristic L-shaped molecular structure. tRNAs have two regions of fundamental functional importance: the anti-codon, which is responsible for specific mRNA codon recognition, and the 3' end, to which the tRNAs corresponding amino acid is attached (by aminoacyl-tRNA synthetases). tRNAs cope with the degeneracy of the genetic code in two manners: having more than one tRNA (with a specific anti-codon) for a particular amino acid; and 'wobble' base-pairing, i.e. permitting non-standard base-pairing at the 3rd anti-codon position. Lineage: Eukaryota; Viridiplantae; Streptophyta; Magnoliopsida; Fabales; Fabaceae. The record is from RNAcentral.
GCGGGGAUAGCUCAGUUGGGAGAGCGUUAGACUGAAGAUCUAAAGGUCACGUGUUCGAUCCACGUUCACCGCA